GUUCAGGUCAGCUUGGAGGCGGGAGAAGCCACCAUAGACCACAGGCUCCAUCUUAGAGGCCAGGAAGGCAUUGGGGAAACAGCUUAGUAACUGCUGGACGGCAUCUUUGAAGGAAAAUCACUAUCAGUGACCUUCGUGCAGUGCAUCGCUCUGGAACUCAGAGCCAAGCCUCUUCGUCCAGUGGAAGGCUGGUAACAGUGCCUGCUCCCCCGGCUUCCUGUUAAUCAUUGCAUUCAAAGGGCUGGGUUUGUUUGCUUAACCAGCUCUGCCCAGCUAAAAGCUUCAGUUUGGAGCAUGUGAACUCCGCCUGGAGAGAGACUCUGUCAAUUAAAUAAAGAAAAGUGUCACGCUUGACAAUAAAUCACUAAAACCA
Molecule: long non-coding RNA, 373 nt
Organism: Phodopus roborovskii (desert hamster)
Lineage: Eukaryota; Metazoa; Chordata; Mammalia; Rodentia; Cricetidae
Exons: 2
Source: RefSeq, a predicted model, not a curated record